Molecule: ribosomal RNA, 505 nt
Filed under: uncultured beta proteobacterium
Lineage: Bacteria; Pseudomonadati; Pseudomonadota; Betaproteobacteria
Description: bacterial SSU rRNA
Rfam family: Bacterial small subunit ribosomal RNA
Source: RNAcentral
GAAUUACUGGGCGUAAAGCGUGCGCAGGCGGUUUUGUAAGCCAGAUGUGAAAUCCCCGGGCUCAACCUGGGAAUGGCAUUUGGGACUGCAAGGCUUGAGUGCGGCAGAGGAGACUGGAAUUCCUGGUGUAGCAGUGAAAUGCGUAGAUAUCAGGAGGAAUACCGAUGGCGAAGGCAGGUCUCUGGGCUGACACUGACGCUCAUGCACGAAAGCGUGGGGAGCAAACAGGAUUAGAUACCCUGGUAGUCCACGCCCUAAACGAUGUCGACUGGUUGUUGGGGGUUUGACACUCUCAGUAACGAAGCUAACGCGUGAAGUCGACCGCCUGGGGAGUACGGCCGCAAGGUUAAAACUCAAAGGAAUUGACGGGGACCCGCACAAGCGGUGGAUUAUGUGGAUUAAUUCGAUGCAACGCGAAAAACCUUACCUACCCUUGACAUGUCCGGAAGCCUGGUGAAAGCCGGGUGUGCCCGAAAGGGAACUGGAACACAGGUGCUGCAUGGCU